GGGGGGGUUCGGGGGAGAUCGGCACCGCUGGGGGUGCCCCGACGGGUGUGGGAAGGGUGAAAUUCGCUUAAAAUCCUAAUUUAGCCGGCGCUGAGAUCGCGCCUAAUGAGCUUUGGAGAAGGAAUUGCCCGAAAUUAAGCAAACAAACAAACAAACAGCAUCCAUCCCUCGUACCGCGGGAGGAAAGGGCUAAUAAAAGUUGAUCUUCGCCUUCUGCAUGCGGGGGGAUUUUUAGGGAAAGCGGGUCCUUUUGAAGAGAGAAGCCCUCGGGAUUCACGGGGUCCGGCACCGCGGGGUUUAUAGGGGAACCUGCGGGGAUGCAAAACCCCCCUCGUCGGGGACAAACACCAGAAGCACACGGAGAGGCGGAAAAAUACGGCCGGUGGUGCAGGAGAAUGUACAGAGUCUUUGUCGGUCCCUUUGGAGAUCUCCGCAGCGUGUUGGAGAAGGGUCGCGCUGGAAAAUGCUCAUUUGCAGUUUGACCGGACAGCGGGCAUCCAAAGCAAGAAGUUUGUCGGCAACUCAGAGCUAGAAAGGGCAUCUGAAGGACAAGAAGCAGUGUUUUUCAGUUCACUUAAAAAGCCUGCGAUCGGUGAAGGAGGGAGAGGAGCCGGAGCAGUAUCGCUGUAUCACUCGAAAUUGGGGUUUUUGCUUCAGGGAUUUGAUGGAUUUGGGCAAAGGCAGAGCCAUCUAGAGGAGCAGCCUGGCUAUUGCGAGGCGGGGAGGCAGUUUCCCUCAGAGGCAUGGUAUGCUGCCUUCGAGUUUUCUUUAGUUGAUUCCUCUGCUUCCAACAAAGGAAAUGGGUGA
Molecule: long non-coding RNA, 807 nt
Filed under: Anser cygnoides (Swan goose)
Lineage: Eukaryota; Metazoa; Chordata; Aves; Anseriformes; Anatidae
Description: lncRNA (ENSACDG00005004529.1)
Source: RNAcentral